GACGUAGGGUGCGAGCGUUGUCCGGAUUUAUUGGGCGUAAAGAGCUCGUAGGCGGCUCGUCGCGUCAGCUGUGAAAACCGGCAGCUUAACUGUGGGCUUGCAGCUGAUACGGGCGGGCUAGAGUUCGGUAGGGGAGACUGGAAUUCCUGGUGUAGCGGUGAAAUGCGCAGAUAUCAGGAGGAACACCGGUGGCGAAGGCGGGUCUCUGGGCCGAUACUGACGCUGAGGAGCGAAAGUGUGGGGAGCGAACAGG
Molecule: ribosomal RNA, 253 nt
Filed under: uncultured bacterium
Lineage: Bacteria
Description: partial 16S ribosomal RNA
Rfam family: Bacterial small subunit ribosomal RNA
Source: RNAcentral